CCUGGUGGCUCAGAUGGUAAAGCGUCUGCCUGCAAUGCAGGAGACCCGGGUUCGAUCCCUGGGUCAGGA
Molecule: transfer RNA, 69 nt
Filed under: Ovis aries (sheep)
Lineage: Eukaryota; Metazoa; Chordata; Mammalia; Artiodactyla; Bovidae
Also listed under: 3 other names
Rfam family: tRNA
About the family: Transfer RNA (tRNA) molecules are approximately 80 nucleotides in length. Their secondary structure includes four short double-helical elements and three loops (D, anti-codon, and T loops).
Source: Rfam by way of RNAcentral